RNAcentral lists this ribosomal RNA (406 nucleotides) under uncultured bacterium. Its description in RNAcentral is "partial 16S ribosomal RNA". It matches the Rfam family "Bacterial small subunit ribosomal RNA", at positions 30 to 526 of the family's 1533-position model. The record is from RNAcentral.
AUUGACCGCUGGCGGCAGGCCUAACACAUGCAAGUCGAACGAGUGGCGGACGGGUGAGUAAUGUCUGGGAAACUGCCUGAUGGAGGGGGAUAACUACUGGAAACGGUAGCUAAUACCGCAUACCAUCAGAUGUUCCCAGAUGGGAUUAGCUUGUUGGUGGGGUAACGGCUCACCACGGCGACGAUCCCUAGCUGGUCUGAGAGGAUGACCAGCAAUACUGGAACUGAGACACGGUCCAGACGCCUACGGGAGGCAGCAGUGGGGAAUAUGGCACAAUGGGCGAAAGCCUGAUGCAGCCAUGCCGCGUGUAUGAAGAAGGCCUUCGGGUUGUAAAGUACUUUCAGCGGGGAGGCGUUACCCGCAGAAGAAGCACCGGCUAACUCCGUGCCAGCAGCCGCGGUAAUAC